UGCGUAGGCGGAUUAAUAAGUCAGUGGUGAAAACCUACAGCUUAACUGUAGAACUGCCAUUGAUACUGUUAGUCUUGAGUACGGUCAAGGUAGGCGGAAUGUGUAAUGUAGCGGUGAAAUGCUUAGAUAUUACACAGAACACCGAUUGCGAAGGCAGCUUACUGGACCAUUACUGACGCUGAGGCACGAAAGCGUGGGGAGCGAACAGGAUUAGAUACCCUGGUAGUCC
RNAcentral lists this ribosomal RNA (229 nucleotides) under uncultured bacterium. RNAcentral's name for it is "partial 16S ribosomal RNA". It matches the Rfam family "Bacterial small subunit ribosomal RNA", at positions 568 to 796 of the family's 1533-position model. The record is from RNAcentral.